This 454-nucleotide ribosomal RNA is filed under the name uncultured Streptococcus sp. Its description in RNAcentral is "bacterial SSU rRNA". It matches the Rfam family "Bacterial small subunit ribosomal RNA", at positions 925 to 1382 of the family's 1533-position model. Lineage: Bacteria; Bacillati; Bacillota; Bacilli; Lactobacillales; Streptococcaceae. The record is from RNAcentral.
ACAAGCGGUGGAGCAUGUGGUUAAUCGACGCAACGCGAAGAACCUUACCAGGGCUUGACAUCCCUGACCGCGUAUGGAAGUACGUUUCACCCUCGGGUGACAGGGAGACAGGUGGUGCAUGGUUGUCGUCAGCUCGUGUCGUGAGAUGUUGGGUUAAGUCCCGCAACGAGCGCAACCCCUAUUGUUAGUUGCCAUCAUUCAGUUGGGCACUCUAGCGAGACUGCCGGUAAUAAACCGGAGGAAGGUGGGGAUGACGUCAAAUCAUCAUGCCCCUUAUGACCUGGGCUACACACGUGCUACAAUGGUUGGUACAACGAGUUGCGAGUCGGUGACGGCGAGCUAAUCUCUUAAAGCCAAUCUCAGUUCGGAUUGUAGGCUGCAACUCGCCUACAUGAAGUCGGAAUCGCUAGUAAUCGCGGAUCAGCACGCCGCGAUGAAUACGUUCCCGGGCCUU